This 429-nucleotide ribosomal RNA is filed under the name Pseudomonadota bacterium. RNAcentral describes it as "Proteobacteria bacterium partial 16S ribosomal RNA". It matches the Rfam family "Bacterial small subunit ribosomal RNA", at positions 355 to 776 of the family's 1533-position model. Lineage: Bacteria; Pseudomonadati; Pseudomonadota. The record is from RNAcentral.
UGGGGAAUAUUGGACAAUGGGCGAAAGCCUGAUCCAGCCAUGCCGCGUGUGUGAAGAAGGUCUUCGGAUUGUAAAGCACUUUAAGUUGGGAGGAAGGGCAGUAAGCGAAUACCUUGCUGUUUUGACGUUACCGACAGAAUAAGCACCGGCUAACUCUGUGCCAGCAGCCGCGGUAAUACAGAGGGUGCAAGCGUUAAUCGGAAUUACUGGGCGUAAAGCGCGCGUAGGUGGUUCGUUAAGUUGAAUGUGAAAGCCCCGGGCUCAACCUGGGAACUGCAUCCAAAACUGGCGAGCUAGAGUAGGGCAGAGGGUGGUGGAAUUUCCUGUGUAGCGGUGAAAGGCGUGGAUAUAGGAAGGAACACCAGUGGCGAAGGCGACCACCUGGGCUCAUACUGACACUGAGGUGCGAAAGCGUGGGGAGCAAACAGG